GCGCCUCCCCGAGCUGAGCCGCGCGUCCCGAGCCCAGCCUCUCCGGGGAGGAGGGACCCGGCGGCGCGGCGUGGGUCGGGAGCGGGCGCCUGGGACUACUUCUCGUUUGAAAGUUUUCAGAGGCCAAAAGUUUGAGCCGGGGCUGCGGAAGGAUCCGGCUCUGGCGGUUGCCGCGCUCGGCGACAACUGGCGACUGAAAUUUGCAUGUGAAUAAGCGGAGGAGCCCGGGGCGGAAUGGGGAGGGCGAGGCCGCGGACAGCCGUGUGCACCGUGCGCUGGGCCGGGCGGGGAGCAGCUGAGGCCACGUUGGGGGACCCCGGGCCCGGGGCAGGGCUCUGGGAGAGUGGCCUAGCCGUGUGUGCGCCCCUAGCCCAGCGGCUUCACUCCCUCCCGAGGGCCCCGUGGCCGCGGCUUUAGGCGUCCAGAGGAUCGAUCGCCGCCAGACAUCCCUGGCCGUGAUUGCCCGAGCACUUGACCGCGAGGGAUGGGGGCGCCGCGGCCUCUGGGCAGGGGACUCCGGGCGCCCCGAGGGAGCAGCCGGGACCAGUGCCUCGCGGACGGAUUGUGCCCCGCUCCCCCAAGGGGGACCCGCGUCGACACGCUCCUCGGUCACCGUCCUCCUCCUGCCCGGGCGCCGCCUGCCUAAGGUGGCCCCAGAAAGCACAAACGGGUCGGGCGGAUCUGCCGCUGGCGCCGGCGCAGCCCUUCCCACGUGCUCCUUCCGGCUGAUUUAUUUCUCCACCACGAUGCCAGGCACGGGCACCCUGUGCCAAGCCUGGUUAAGCGCCAGGAGUCCAAAAUGCCUGCCAUAGUCCCUGCGCAAAGUUCACGGCCUCGUGCCAGGGACAGACAGCGCCCCCUCCCCACCCCAACACAGGGUGGUGAGUGCGAUGGCAGAAGGCGCGUGUCCCGGCGCCCCUCCUGGAGUAGGAGGGCUAAGCCUGCCCUGCGGGGAGACCGAAAGGCUGGGAGGGACCUAGGACUGUGGGGGCCUGGGGGGAGGGCUGCAGAAACCCCAGAGCAUGGUGGCAGAGGCAGGCACAGAAAGCAGGACAAAUCUCACACCUGACCCCAGCAAGCCUUUCCUGGCACACCUCUUGCCAAAUGCUGAGCACUCUGGAAACAGCCAGUGCAGGCGGCCUGUCCCGCCCCUGUAGCUGCUGCUGGGAGCCUCCCUCGCCUGCGUCCUCCCAGAAUCUGGCCUCACUUCUGCAGGCCUGGGGUAACAUCUUGGGGUCAGCGCCCCAGGAGAGGAGGCGCCUGGAGGCAGCAGAGAUGUUUAUGUAACAGCAGCCAGGCAGCCUGGAGGAGCAGAUUUUCCAUAGAAGGAAGCGCGGGGCUGUGCAGCUCCCAGGCUGAGGACUCUGCCCACCACGACGUCCUCUGCUCCUGAGAAGAGAGUGGCCCAUUCGGUGUCCACCCGUCAGGCCACCCAGCAGCCAGGCACGCUCAUAAGCCCGCGUUACGGAUGGUGCGGCCGGGUGCACAGGCCCGAGGGAAGCACAGGCCUCGGCCUCCCAGCUCCCAACCCCUGCACCACCCACAGCCGGGAGUACCCCAUGGACAGCUGUGGCCGAGGAGAAGCCAGGGAUGAGGGGGAUGGGCCUCACCUCCCCACCAGCCUGGGAAGGGGGUAGGCCCCUGGCAAGUAGAGAAAUGGGGGUACCAUUGUCAGGGUGAGCUAAGGAGGCCCUGCUGACAUUGGCCCAACCAGGCCCCUCCUUUGCGGCUGCUGUGGGGACUUUCGAGAGCAGAGCACACCCCUAAGUGCGUGGAGAGGUAAGCACAGCUGGUGAGCACACGGGGACAGCGACGGAGCUCAUGGAGACCCAGGUGACCUUAAAACACCCCAGGGCCGGCUCCGGCCCCAGAGAGAUGUGGUCCGAGUAGAGGGGGGUCAGCAGUGACCUGGUGGGUGGGUGUAUUUGAGGGGUGCCUGUGUUGAAAGCUCUGCAGUAGAUUCUAAGGAGCAGCCAGGGCUGAGACUCCCGGUGCUGAGCCCAAGGCCCCUUUCCUUCCUGCAGGAGUUCAUCUUGGCUCUUGCAGCCCCCAUGACCCUGUGGCGCUGGGGGGCGGCUAGCAUGAUGCUCCCCAUUUUUCAGGAGGGAAGCUGAGGCUCAGAGACAUCAUGAGGAUGCCAGCUCAAGGCCCAGCCAGGCCUUGGUCCUCAGCUGCUGUCAUCCAGUAGGGUAAGUGGGACCCCCAGGAGGUGUUGGGGGACACUCCUCCCCUCCCCCACACUCACAGUCUGUUCACCGCCCAAGGCAGCAGGCUGGACUCGGUGCAGGGACCAUGGCUUGGCGUGGCCAGGUUGGAGUGGCCCCUGGGACUGAAAGCAGGGGGCGUGGGGGCUCUGAGGCGGGGCCGAGUGCGGGGACGUCCUGUGGCGGGUACCCUGCUGGGUCCUGGGUGGGGGCCACCACCAGGCAGCUGUGGGAACAUUCCAGACCACCUAGGAGUAGGGCCCCUUCACCGUUUGAAGCUGACUGUAAAAAACAUCUGACCUGUGUGCAAAGCUCAAGCCCAGAGGCCUCCAGGGUGUCCAGCCUCCAGGGUGCCUCCUACGCAGCCUCCACGUCCCCAUCCACUGCAGCCCCUGACCAUCGGGCACACCGUGGGGCCUUCGCUGGCCGCCGGGCCUCAGGUUCUGCUGCACCAAGUGAUUUUUAAAGCCCCAUCUGCCUUUCUCCACUUAUAAAGAACUUGGGACAUUUCCUCGAGGUUGGGCAUUUUUCCAGAUGUGGUUUCAGUGUCUCGCUUGCUACCUGGUCCCCUGUGCUGGGCGGUCCGCUGUGACGCACCUGGCAGUCCUUGCUCUAGGAUGGAUUCGGGCCGGCCCUUGUUCUGAGAACAGAGAACGGCCCUUGUUCUGAGGAGGCUGGGGUCUGGAAUCUGCUUCCUGGUCCCCUGCUGUGUGCAGACAGCCACCGUCACCCAGGCCCAGGGGUGCCUGCAGGUGCUGGGCAUCUCACCCUGGCCCCCACAGGGGCUCCCCAUGCCCUGCACCCCUCGGUCUGUGCCGGGGACUUCCCUGCUCUGCUGUUGCAGGCCUCGUCCUUUGCCGAGGGGGUCUCUUUCCCACGUGUCCCUGAGACUCCUCAGCCAUCCCAGAGGCUCUCGGCCGUCUGAGCACCCCUGACCAUGAAGCCUUCCUGGCCCACUCUCUGUGUGUGAGGCAGAGCCCAUCCCUACCAUUCCGACCCACACCAGAGGCUCCGGAAGGUUUGCUGACUGACCUGUGACUGCAAGAAGCUGAAGGAAUGUGGGCGCAGACCCGGCAGGGGCUUUUCUUGGUGCAAAGUCAACUGGCUGUCCAUGCAAGCCUGCUGCUGUGGCCAGCCCUCCCGCCAGGCGCCUGGGAGUCCCAGGGAGACGGCAGAGGCAGUGCCUGGCUGGGGCCCUGGUUGGCGUGCCGUUUGAGGGGUGCAUGCACUGGGAAGUUGGCCAGGCCUGCCCAAAUCAGGGGGCUUCCAGGAGGAGAGACAUCAGGAGGAUGGGCACAGAGGCGGCUUAGCACCAGGGCUGGCACCUCCAGGUAGGGGCUGUGGGGGGCUGGACCAGACAGGGAGGCUGUCACGAUGCCUGGCUGUUGGAUGGGGGCACAGAGGCUCUGAGUGGGGUGGCAGAGCUUGGCCACCAGGUCCAUCUGCACCCCCCAUGCCCCCUCACUACCCCCAGACCCCCAUGAUCCCAAACUACUCAGUCCCAGGGACCCCUGCAGAGCCUGUGGUGGGGGUGAUCUUCCACCCUGCCUGGCCCCUGCCCACCUCACCUCAGAACUUUCUCCAAAAAGUAAGAGCCCCGGGGGACGAAACUUCGAGGCUCCACCCCUUGGGCUCUGGUACAAACCCCGAGCCUCCUCCGAGGGCUGAGUCACUGGGAAAGCCGGGAUGGGCUGGCCCCUCCCCCUCCCUCUCCUUCCUUCCUCCUUCCCCCUUUCUCGGUCUCCCUCUUUUUCUCUUUGCUUUACUUCUCUUUCUUGCCUCCCUCUCUCCCUCUCUUCUUUCGUUCCUUUCAUCUUCUUCCCUUCCUCCGUCUUUGCCUUUCUUCUUUUCUGAGGGUAAAAAUAGCUGGAAAACCCCCUUAAAAAAGUUUAUUUUAAUCUUAGAGGGACAAUGUUGGUGUCCCAAAGCACAGUCCUUUGCCCCGGAGGAGCCACCGGCAGAGCCAGGAGCCCCUGAAGGACUUUGACCACACCCCCCACCCCACCCCGACCUGUGCCUGGUGCCCCAAGUGGAGCCUGGGCCAUCCUUGACCUCACCGCUGGGGUGAUGGAGAAGCAGCCGCCCGAGGCGAGAGUUUCUCAGGUGGCCGGGGUUUCCCCCCAUUUGCUCCAGACACAUUUAAACAAGCUGAGAACUUCCGUCCCCCCAUACUCCCCCCCGCGGACCCCCACGGACCCCCUCUGCAAAUGAACAUGGGCCUGGAAAUCGGGGUGUGGGUUACAGAGAGCACGGGGAAUUCUGCUCGUGAAGUAACACGGAGCACGAACAUAAGCAGGUACCGCACAUCUGCGAGCUAUUCGGGUCUCCGGGGGAAGGCAAAAAGCCCCAACAAGCCUUAAGUAAGACCAGGACGCUUCUAUAGUUUUGCUUUGACAGCUAAGGAAAAAAUCUGCCAAAAACCAGAGGCGCUGCUGAGUGUUGGCGUGGGAAUGCUAGUUUAGUCAGAGCCUUGCUCUGGGCCAUUUAAAUAAAAACAGACAUGUUGGUGGCAAAUGCCAGUUGAACACGCAGGAGAGCGGUGCUUCUCGGGCCCGGAGAAGGGUUUGCAGCUGCACUCUCUCUUCCCUUUUCUCUUGGCCUCCCCAGCCUUCUUAUCAUCACGAUCAGCAUUUCACUGGUAAACAUUUGGUGCAAUAAUUUUCAAAAAUCAGCAAGAAAAGUCUGAGCGUUUCAUGUGGCUGUGACUGCGUGGCCCCAGCUGGAAGCAUGGAUUCCCAGCGCCUCCCAGAGCCUGUCUCCGAGGGAUACUCUAAUCACUUGAGGGCCUUUGCACGACAUAAAUCAGACCGACUAUCUCUAGAGUGGAGAGGGGGAUAAACUCACUUGUAGCAAGUGAAGGCCAGAGGCUGCCCUGGGAUGGCAUUGCCUGUUCCCAGGGGCUUGUGGUGGUGCAGCAGACAUGGGGACCCCUGGGCCCCUUCCCCUCCUUGCUGGGGAUGCCACACAGACCCACGUUCAGGGACCUGAAUUCAGAGCCUGCCCCAGGGGUGGCGAAUGUAUCUGGGACACUGAGGACCCCCCUACCGGGUGCAUCUCAUGGCCUUUUGGUCUUUUUUUUUGAGACGGAGUCUCACUUUGUUGCCCAGGCUGGAGUGUCAUGGGGCGAUCUCCGCUCACUACCACCUCCGCCUCCCGGGUUCAAGCAAUUCUCCUGUCUCAGCCUCCGAGUAGCUGGGAUUACAGGUAUGUGCCACCACGCCAGCUAAUUUUUCUAUUUUUAAUAGAGAUAGGGUUUCACCAUGUUGGUCAGGCUGGUCUUGAACUCCUAACCUCGGGUGAUCUGCCUGCCUUGGCCUCCCGAAGUGUUGGGAUUACAGGCGUGAGCCACUGCACCUGGCCAGCCUUUUGGUCUUGAAGGGUCUCUGGGAGGGCCUCAGAGAAUGUCUUGGUUUCCUCACUCUUGGGUUCCCAUCGACUGAGGUCAGGGCUGGGAAGGGGUGAUGAGCCCAGGACUCUUCUGGCGAGAGCGAGGGUCUAUGUUGGGGGGCUCCCUUCUGCCACCUCUCCUUGGUGACAUGGGGCUGGCUGGAGAGUCCCUCCGUGCCUGGGAGUUCCUCAGUGUAGGGGGGGAAGGGGGCCACUGCAAUGAAUCUGACACCAGCCCCCUCUCUCUCCGCCCUGCUGGCAGCCCUCACUCAUAUGGGGGGCGGGUCUGUCCUCCUUUCCCCAAAGCUGGGGGUCCUGAGUGUGGUUGGGGUAACGUCUGGUCCUCCUUAGAACAGUGGGGCUUGGAAUUCAUUCAAGGGAAGAAGAGUGAAGGAACGCAGAUGCCGACUGCAUGGAGCCCCCCCGGGCUGCAGCCCCUAGAGCCUGGGCGCUCUGUGAGCCAGAAAGAGAACGGCUGGGGAGAGGGCUGUGUGAGGCCCUGUUCUUCCAAGACCGCUGCGGAGGACCGACGGGGCCCAGGGACCCUGACUGAGGUGUGCCGAGCACAGCAGCUCUGGACAGGCCGCACCGGCCUCUCUGUCUGUCAUCUGUCCACCUGUUGGUGGGCAGGAACAGACCUGAUGCUGUAAGAAGAGGCCCCCAGGACCCUGCCUCUCCCAUUGGCUGAGCCUGGACUGUGGAGCCAGCCGCCCUCACACUGGGCACAGAUGACCGACUUAGGUUUUGAGAAGAUCCAAACAGCAGCAGGACGUGCACCUGGUAGGGGUAGGAGGGCCUCCCCUGGACUCAAAAGUGUAUUCGCGGAGCCCCUUCCCUGCAGCGUAGGCUCUGGGGGGACAGUGGCCAGGACGGAGGCCCUCGUGGAAAGGGGGAGAUGUGAACAGUGAGCCUCCUGCAUGCAGGCAUCUGGGAAAGAACAUUCCAGCCAAGUGGCUCUGAGCACACCCCGACCCUGGCCACCCUGGCCCUGUGGACCAACCCUGGGGCCCAGGAUUAAUGACAGCCAGUGCUCGCUGGUGCCUCCAGCCUGGGCCAGGCCUGUGGGCUGGUCCCUUCAAUGAUGGGGCAAGCUCAGCCCCGUCCACACCCUUCUCCUCCUCCUCUGUGCUUCCCUCCACCCCCAGGAGUGGGCUCCAGGUCUGUCACUCGUCACUCAUGGGGGGCUGUGGGUUGACUCGUAUUCCCCCAAAAGACUCGCUGUAUACCCCCAGAGCUUGUGAGCAGGACCUGUUUUGGAGAUGGGUCUUUGCAGAUGUCGUCGAGUUAAGACAAGGCCAUGCUGGAGUGGGGCCUGCCCUAAUCCAACGACUGGGGCCCUUGGCAGGAGAGGGAGGUUUGGGGAGAAGGCGCUGGGAAGACAGGCAGAGGCUGGAGACAGUGCAGCCCCAAGCUGGGAGCACAGGGGUUGCCGGCACCCAACAGAAGCUGGAGGAGGUGGGAAGGAUCCUCCCUAGAGCCUUGGGAGGGGGCCCGGUCCUGUGACACCCAGAUUUUGGAUUUCUGGCCUUCGGAACUGAGAGAGCACACAUUUCUGCGGUUUGAAGCCACCAAAUUUUUGGUAAUUUGUUCUGGCCAGGAAAUUAAUACCAGGGAUAAAGGUGUUUUAAUGCAGACAAAGACAGUUUUUGAAUUAACCAAGCUUUGCGCAAGGCUGCCGGGAUUGACUGGGGGAAGUGAGGGACUCAGCAGCUUCCCCGACGCUCGCCAGGCACCGGCCUCCAUACACGCUUGCUGGCGGUGGCUACGGCAGGUCGCUCUUCAGGUGAAACCACAUAAUGAGCAGCCUUAAGCCUGUCGAUUUACACAGCAGAGGCUGCCUGGCCUGGCGCUCUUCCUGGCUGGAGGACUCUGCCUUCCCCCUCUGCCUGCCUGUGGCCACUCCGGCUGCAGAGGAGACUGGCAGACGACGUUCUCAUCCCUGGUCGGGGCAAAAGUUCUGCUCAAAUAUGACAACGGUGAAACUCGGAAUAGCGACAGAGCCAACCCAUGAUUGAGGCAGGGCUGGAGGCUUUCUGGAAAACGCACGGAGAAACACGAGGGCCCAGCUGUGCCCUGGGCCGCCCCAUGAGUCCAGCCUUCUUCGUCCUAGUCCCUUCUCCAAAGAAAGGACAAAACCACUGAAAGGGUUCGUCUGGGUCACAAACGUCCCAAAUUGGCUUCCGCGUGGAAACUAAACAAGGGUAGGUCCCAGCCCCUGGGAUUCAGGUGAAACCCGAGGCCUGUCUGAGGUCACAGCGUCUUCCCGAGGACGUCAGCCCUGUUGGCUGUGUCUGGGGCCAGGCUGAGGCAUAGCGGGCCAGGAGGCCGAGCUUCCCAAAGGAGCUGCACUGUCUUUUCCUUAGAAUAUGAAAUCAAUGUCUGCCACCUUGAAUCCUCAUGGACAAGACUCCUUGGAAGCCAGCCUGUGUCAGGGCCAGCGUCCCCCAGGGCUGACACCUACACCCUCGCAUUCUCAGCGUGACUCGGGACAGUGGCAGAACCCGCUGGGUUCUCUCUACGGGAGUGCUUUUUUUUUUUCUUUUCUUUUUUUUUUUUUUUUUUUUUUUUGAGUCGGAGUUUCACUCUUGUUGCCCAGGCUGGAGUACAAUGGUGUGAUCUCGGCUCACUGCAACCUCCACCUCCUGGGUUCAAGCAGUUCUCCUGUCUCAGCCUCCCGAGUAGCUGGGAUUACAGGUGCACACCACCAUGCCUGGCUAAUUUUUGUAUUUUUAGUAGAGAUGAGGUUUCACGGUGUUGGCCAAGCUGGUCUCGAACUCCUGACCUCAAGUGAUCCACCUGCCUUGGCCUCCCGAAGUGCUGGGAUUUCUGGCGUGAGCCACCGCACCCAGCUCGGAGUGCGUUAUGACUAGAGGCAAAGACAGCAGCAUGAUCUUCAGCUUGCAAAUGAGACACAGAAUGACAAUGAAUCUUCACCGAAGUUAACUUGAACCUGGAUGGAUGAGUGGCCGGGUCGCCAAAAAGCUCCUCGGACCCUGCCAGAGUGUGAGCUCUGCCAGGAGGGCCGGGGCUCCAGGAUCCCAGGCUGGGCAGUCACUGGCUCCCCCAGGAAGGGCCACAUUCCGGUGGGCAGACAGAGGGUUGGGGAGGGUGGUGGGCAGCCAGCCGCCUGGAUCCCGGCCGGGGCACCGUCCCGCAGAGCUUGUCCCGCACAGACUCAGUUUCCUAACCCAGCAAGUGGGAGUCCACUGUGAGAAGUCCAGCCCUACGCAGAUGCGUGCGAAUCCCCUAAGAGCCAUGCCUGAGCCCUUGGCGGAAGCAGUUGGCUCCUCGUGUCAUGCAAAGGGCGGCAUUUUCAUUCCUAACAGGGAGGUGGCCCCGGAGCAUCCAGUUCAAAGGAGCUAGGAUGAUCCAGGGUCCUCUCACGUGGGCCUUGGUGAGUGGCCACACCCUCUGAGACCCCCUUUCAUCCCCAUAGAAAGGUCCUAGCAGGGCUGUGCCAGGGGGAUCCGCGGGUGGCAGGGUGGCCCCAUCUGCAGUGGGCCCAGGAGGAUAGCAACAGGACUUAGCAGUGGUGGGAUUGUAUUUCUGGGCCCUUCUUCCCCCACAGCCCACAGCCUCCUGACGGGACCCCUCCCCCCAGAACCUGAAGGACGGACCUCAGGUGUGGAGCUCCCUCACCAGACAGAGGGGAGGAGCCCAGGUCCAUCUCCUCAAAGGGACCCACCAGCCCCUCACGCGGCUGCACACAAGGCAGUCCCAGCCAGGCCCCAGGUUGAGGCAGACUCAGCCUAUGUCCUCAAGAGGCUCCCUGGAGAAGGCAGGACCCAGAAGCUUCUCUCUCGGCUGACAUGGCCUUUGCGGGCAGCCUUCCCACCCACAUCCCCAGCAUGAGCCCCAGCUCCUUGGAGCCCAGAGUCCAAGAAAUGGCCUUUCUGCCACUGACCCCUCCCGUGGAAUGGCUCCUCCCGAGCAGGGAACCUCUGCUGGGACCCGUCAGCUGCAAGAAGGCCCGUCCCCGAGAGAGCCCUGCAGGGCAAGGGGAGAGGGACCCCGGGGUAGGGGUGGAGAGCAGCUGAGGGGACAGACACAGAGAAGACCAGGCAGGGGCAUAGCCUGCUGAUGGGGGAUGCCAUCCUCUCGGUCACAGCUGAGCCAGGGCAGCCUCUAAGCUUCCUAAGUGGGGAAACCAAGGCAGAGAACCCCAGGACUGGGGCCACCGCUGUGGUCAGCCGGUUGGGGGUGGCCUGGGCCUCUCCAGUCUCCACUCUUCCAUCCAGCUUCAUGGGGAGCAACAUUUUUUUCACCUCAAGGCCAAAUUAGGAAGAACAAACAUGUUUUAUUUAUCAGUGUCACUUUUUUUUUUUUUUGUUUUAGAGACAGGGGUCUCACUAUGUUGCCCAGGUUGGACUUGAAUUCCUGGGCUCAAACAAUCCUCCUGCCUCAGCCUCCCAAGUUACUAGGACUACAGGUGCACCACUUAGUUACAUUUUUUUUAUACACGUGAAAACAGCUUUUUUGCUGGGCGCAGUGGCUCACGCCUGUAAUCCUAGCCCUUGGGGAGGCCGAGGCAGGUGGAUCACCUGAGGUCAGGAGUUCGAGACCAGCCUGGCCAACAUGGUGAAACCCCGUCUCUACUAAAAAUACAAAAAUUAGCUGGGUGUGAUGAUGGGAGCCUGUAGUCCCAUCUACUCAGGAGGCUGAGGCAGGAGAGUGGCAUGAACCAGGGAGGCGGAGGUGGCAGUGAGCCGAGAUCGCGCCAUUGCACUCCAGCCUGGGUGACAGAGUGAAACUCCAUCUCAAAAAAAAAAAAAAAAAAGAAAAGAAAAAGAAAGUAGUUUUUUUUCCCCCUAUGCUAAAAAUUCAAACAAAGCAAACAAGCAAAUUUUUAGAGAAGAAAAUUCCAUUGGCCACAAUCUGUAGCAGGGAGAGCUGUUUUUUUUGUUUUGUUUUUGUUUUUUUUUUGAGGCAGAGUCUUGCUCUGUCACCCAGACUGGAAUGCAGUGGUGCAAU
This 10562-nucleotide long non-coding RNA is filed under the name Homo sapiens (human). Its description in RNAcentral is "non-protein coding NALT1:13". Lineage: Eukaryota; Metazoa; Chordata; Mammalia; Primates; Hominidae. The record is from RNAcentral.